Octopus sinensis (East Asian common octopus) is the source of this 140-nucleotide long non-coding RNA. RefSeq lists it as uncharacterized. The record is from RefSeq and is a predicted model, not a curated record. The transcript has 3 exons. NCBI's taxonomy places the organism in Eukaryota, Metazoa, Mollusca, Cephalopoda, Octopoda, Octopodidae.
CUCUUUCUUCCUCUCUUGAAGAAAGAGUGAGAGAAAGUUUGGGCGAAAGAAUACAACUGGGGUUGUCACCAGUCCCUGCCGGAGCCUCAUGGAGCUUUAGGUAUUUUCACUCAAUAAACACAUACAACAUCCGGUCUGGG